This is a long non-coding RNA of Hemiscyllium ocellatum (epaulette shark), 438 nucleotides long. RefSeq lists it as uncharacterized. NCBI's taxonomy places the organism in Eukaryota, Metazoa, Chordata, Chondrichthyes, Orectolobiformes, Hemiscylliidae. The transcript is spliced from 5 exons. The record is from RefSeq and is a predicted model, not a curated record.
AUAGAGUUAUUGUGUACCAUGAGAUCAGGGACAACACAAAGGACAUUUCCACCUUGGGAGCGUAUUCACUGGAUAGCAACAGCCUCUAUGUGAAUGGUUACCAUGAAUCAGCUCCUUCAGCCCCACCAUUUGUGACCACAACACCAAAUGUGCAAUCACAAUCUUUUGAUUUUAAUGUGACUUUCACUAUUACUAACCUGGUUCCAACAACAAACCUAAUAUCAUCCAAUUCUGCACUGCAUAAAUCAGCCUCGAAUAUUAUUGCUUACCAGUUGAACAAACUGUUUACAAACAGCAACAUCAAUAAAACAUUCUCAAGUUGCAAAGUUCAAUCGUUCAGUCCAGCAAAUGCUGCUAGCACCAGCGUGUACACAAUCUGCACAUUCACAAAUGAUUCAAAUCCUCAAGAGGUUAAUAAAGUUACUGCGUACCAUGAGA